This 301-nucleotide ribosomal RNA is filed under the name uncultured bacterium. RNAcentral describes it as "partial 16S ribosomal RNA". It matches the Rfam family "Bacterial small subunit ribosomal RNA", at positions 509 to 807 of the family's 1533-position model. The record is from RNAcentral.
CAGUAGCCGCGGUAAUACGGAGGGUGCAAGCGUUAUCCGGAUUUAUUGGGUUUAAAGGGUCCGUAGGCGGACUUAUAAGUCAGUGGUGAAAGCCUGUCGCUUAACGAUAGAACUGCCAUUGAUACUGUAAGUCUUGAGUAUAUUUGAGGUAGCUGGAAUAAGUAGUGUAGCGGUGAAAUGCAUAGAUAUUACUUAGAACACCAAUUGCGAAGGCAGGUUACCAAGAUAUAACUGACGCUGAGGGACGAAAGCGUGGGUAGUGAACAGGAUUAGAUACCCCUGUAGUCCCUGUCUCUUAUAC